GGAAUAUUUUAGAAAAAUUUAAAUUCUUAUUUAAUUUAGUGUUUUCUAAUAACAAUCCAAAAUUAAAAAUUUUGGAGUGUUAUACCAUGCCUCUUCUGCAUUGAAUCUUUUUGGAGAGAGAGAAUAACAACACUUGGGACAGUGAGUGAUAAUAUUUUUAGCAAUUUUUAAUGAAUGGUGGUGAAUGGUGUAGUGGAUGUGUGCAAGUGAAUAUCUUAAUUUCACCACAUGAAAAGCUCCUAAGGGUCUACAUAGCUUGAUCAAACUCAAUGUGAAUAUAAGUAGCAAAAGAUGUUAUAGCAAGUAUGGUUGUGGUAGAAAUUUUGUCACGCUAGGAACUCAUCAUGUGAUUUGCAAGUUUUCAA
This 365-nucleotide long non-coding RNA is filed under the name Sorghum bicolor (sorghum). Its description in RNAcentral is "long non-coding RNA (SBIC_LNC017460)". Lineage: Eukaryota; Viridiplantae; Streptophyta; Magnoliopsida; Poales; Poaceae. The record is from RNAcentral.